UGACUGCUCACGGCCUCUCCCUCGUGGUCGUAACUCCAUUUAGUUAAGCAUUUUAAUCGAAUAUGACUUGAAAAUGUUUUAGUCCGUUUUUGAAAAUGCCUGCUGCUUAUGAAUAUUGUUGUCAGAAACCAAAGGCCAAGGUCGGAAACGGCAAAUGCAGUUUUCUUGUUGGAUGGCAGAUAGCCGAUGCCAAUUGUUGACAACCAUUAUGCUGGACGAGAGAAAUUGAGGCUGGUAGAUGAUGCCAACAGUUGACGACCAAUCGGUUGGAUGGAAGAAAUUAAGGCCAGUAGAUGAUGCCAACAGUUGACGAUCAGUUGGUUGGAUGAGAGAAAUUAAAACUUGUAGUUGAUGCCAACAGUUGACAAUCAAAUGGUUGGAUGAGAGAAACCAGUUGCGUUGUAGCAGAUGCCAUCAUUCAGCUAACAAUAGGUAAUUUAAGUUAAAGCCUUUUGUACAUUAUUGCAUGUCAAGAUAAACCAUUUGACUAGAGUCUCUGAUUUCCCCAUGAAGCUCUUCAUAGUGCACUGAACACAUGCUGUACAAAAUAAUGAGUGGUUUGUUGUGGCUUGAAUGAUCCUGAAUGCUUAAAUAACUUUCACAGUUUGGCUCAAACUGAAGCUGCCAGAUAGCUGAUGCCAACCAUACACAGCCAAUGGGUUGAAUGGAACAAAAGCCUGCUGGCUGAUACCGAGUUGACACAAUGGGCAAGAAAGAUCGUCAACGAAAGCUUCACAAUUAGGGUUUUCAACUUCAGGGUUCGAAGCCAACAUGGAUGUGUUGGAUCCAUGAAUCUGCUUAAAGGUUGACGAGAUGCCAGUGAUGGGAUGCUGCAUACACUUGAAUGCAGAGCCGUGUAAAUACUGGUUCAGUAAACCUAGCUCUUUUUCUUGUGUUAAUGAUGACUGCGUUUGUUCGGUUCCACUGAAACUCAAUGAAGUAACUUUCUCGCGGCGCACUGAAACACUGACAGACAAUGCACAAACUUUUAUUUUCAUGUCUUGUCGUCUAAUACAAUUUUGUUUUGUUUUAAGGAUGUGACCGAAGAGGAGCUGUGACCGGUUUGCUGCACAAUGGUGAAUUAAGCUAAUGUGUAUCAAUUUAAAUGCUUGUUUAGUGGCAUCCAGUAGACUGUUUGAGUUAAUUGAUCAUUUUCAGUUUUAUAAACUGCAUUUUCAUUUGAGUUGUACUUGCUUUUAAUAAACAUCAGAAUAACAGUGAAAA
Long non-coding RNA from Danio aesculapii, 1224 nucleotides. RefSeq lists it as uncharacterized. The transcript is spliced from 9 exons. Lineage: Eukaryota; Metazoa; Chordata; Actinopteri; Cypriniformes; Danionidae. The record is from RefSeq and is a predicted model, not a curated record.